This 232-nucleotide ribosomal RNA is filed under the name uncultured Pasteurellales bacterium. Its description in RNAcentral is "partial 16S ribosomal RNA". It matches the Rfam family "Bacterial small subunit ribosomal RNA", at positions 99 to 334 of the family's 1533-position model. Lineage: Bacteria; Pseudomonadati; Pseudomonadota; Gammaproteobacteria; Pasteurellales. The record is from RNAcentral.
CGGACGGGUGAGUAAUGCUUGGGAAUCUAGCUUAUGGAGGGGGAUAACUACGGGAAACUGUAGCUAAUACCGCGUAAUAUCGAGAGAUUAAAGUGUGGGACCUUCGGGCCACAUGCCAUAGGAUGAGCCCAAGUGGGAUUAGGUAGUUGGUGAGGUAAAGGCUCACCAAGCCGACGAUCUCUAGCUGGUCUGAGAGGAUGACCAGCCACACUGGGACUGAGACACGGCCCAG